This 593-nucleotide long non-coding RNA is filed under the name Hordeum vulgare. RNAcentral's name for it is "long non-coding RNA (HVUL_LNC018061)". Lineage: Eukaryota; Viridiplantae; Streptophyta; Magnoliopsida; Poales; Poaceae. The record is from RNAcentral.
CCUUAUUUAAACAUACCACGCAUUUGAUAUAGAACAAAGUCGCUGGAGAUGAGGCAGGUCUUACAUUACUUUGAUGAAACCACCUUUUUGUUAAGCAUAUAGCUAGUCAUGCAUAGAUCUUAACAUCACGAUCAACCAUGAACGGGUUAAUCACUGUAGCACAUGUGAGAUACAUAGGCGUGUAUUUAGUGCCCAACACAUUGCCGCACUCAGGAUGUUGUCUUCCAAAGUGAUGUACAACGAAUAUCUGGUACAUGCUGAAUUUGGAGUACAUGGUUUUGGGUGUUCAUACAACCCUGAUGCAAUAUGUUCAAACUUGCCUAUUUUUCCAGCGGUACGAAGACUAUACGAUCUGGUAAGUGUUUUUUGCUAGAGGGAAUCAAAGGUACAUGAUGUUAUUUGGUAUUUAUGAGUUCCACAAGGAGACCCGUCAUGUAUAUAGAUGAAAAGCAAAGAUUGAUUUGAUACCCGAUGAAUAAUACUUUGGUGCGUGUAUUGGUUGCUACAUGAAAAUUAUCUACCCUUCAUAUUGAUCAAGCGUACCCUCUUGAGAUCACAGCUGAAUACAACUUGGAUGGUCAGCUCGGAUCAUC